UAUACUAAAGGAGAGAUACUGUUCAUAUAACAGUGAUUUGGCUCCAAGUGGUUUGACGCUUUUGCCCUCGCUUCAGAUUUUUUUUCCGGCUCUACCUCGGUUCUGGAUACGAUAUCGUCAUUUUGCUCUUUCUUCUACACUCUUCUGACCAUCUUUAUCAAUUGUUGAGAGAGAGAGAGAGAGAGCGGUUGUGUGUUUGCUUCGCACGAGGAGGUAGAGGGAUAGAUCGGAGGGAAAGUUUGAAACCUCAAUCCUGGUUGAGAGAGAGAGAGAGAGUUAGAGAGAUCGGUUGUGUUUGUUUGCUUGGGACGUAUUAACUAUAUUUCGUUCUUGGUUUCUACAGAAAACACAGUCGAAACAGAGAGAGAGAGAGAGAGCGAGAGAGAGUCAGAGAGGAAGGAGAUCUACGUCUUGGAUAGCUCUGCCGUGUACCAAUUACGAAACACCCAAUCUACUAUCUUCGGGAAGCCUCAAUCAGCCAUGUAUCGGAAGUGUGCAGAAGAGAAGAGGUUCGUCUGGAUUUCGUAAUAGCGGUCUUCUGCGACAGAGUGAGGCCGAUCCGAGAGAGAGAGAGGAAGAGCAGGAGACGGGAAGAGCUCAAUUCAAGUUUUUAUGACAGUCAUCAAAUGUACUACCCAGCCAUCAAACUCUCAGAUAGAAUUUUAGCUUUUUCGCGGAGCCUCGAUCGACAUCCAUCUUCACUAUUUCGUAGGAUAUUCGUCUUUUAUACUGGUGGAUUACAGGUGAUGUAACAGCUCAAGUUUGAUGACAGAAAAGACAUGAUUCAUUCAUUUCAGUAAAAUUAUAAAAUAUGAGUAAAUUCACUUAACUAUUAUGUAUGUUUUAUGAUAUGAGAGCGAACAAACUAUAUUUUGGUUUUAUAUUUGGGUUUUCGAUUGUUCUGUUUCUUGGUGAAAUUUUGGGUUUGGUCUGUUUGAUCCUUGAUUGUGGAAAAUGAGAAUAAGGGCUUGGUUUUGGUGUGCUUUGGUUUUUACUGGGUCUUUUCUUUGACUUAGUUUUGGAAAUCUCAGUAUUUGGUUGCGUUUUGCAGUUUGACGUAUUGUGGACUGGAGUAUCUGCCUGUUUUUGCUUCCUUGAUUGGAUCUUGCUGUAUCUAGCGUGAAGCUGAUCAGACCACAAUAAAGUUCCUUGGUUUGCUGAGUUCUCCUUUGGUUUGAUCAAAGGCUGUGGUUUUGGUGGAUUUCGACAGAGUGAGGAUUGCAGGGGUUGUGAUUGUGUUUCGGAUUGGGAUUUCGGAAUUGAUUGAAAAGGCUUUGUUUGUGCUACAGUUUCAACUCUGGGCAAUUGAUUGCAAUACCUUCAAGGUAUCGUUUUUAUCUUUCAUAAUUUAAAAUCUUUCAUUAAUUUAUAUAUUCAUUCAACUGUGGGAUGAAUGAUAGGAUGCUGCUGCUGAUUUGGUCUCCUGAUCAUUCUUUUGUUCUGUAUAAGUUUAGUUAAUUAAACUAUGAUUGACUGAAUUAAUGGAAAAACAAUUUUAUCUUUGGACUUCAGCACUGAACCUGCAGGAUCACAUUUUUGUUAGGAUUAAAAUCCUGUUUAUUAAGUUUAAUUAUCUGAGCUGUGGCAUACCAUGUAUUUUUGAUUGUUUCCCUCUUUUUGAGCAUUUCUGUUUUGGAUCAGUCUGUGUCAUAUUUGUGGAAUUAAGUUUUGCUUGGACCUUUAAAUUGUUAAUCGAUUUCUAUAUAGAUUGAGGUAAGUUGGGUAUUACUAUCUUCUUCAUUGACGAAGAAAGAAUGGUUUAGGGAGAAGAAAGAAUGGUUUAGGGAAAAGAAAGAAUGGGUAUUUUCGGAGAGUUAUAGAAAAUUUUUGAACUAAAGGCAGUCAAUUGCAGUGGGUAUUGAGUAGUUUCUUUUUGUGGUAAUAUUUUAGUUUUGUACAGAUUCAAGUUUGGAAGAAGAUAAUAAAGUGUUUUUAGUUUUAUUUAUUUUCUGUUCAGUUUAAAAAUAAUAGAGUGGCUAUGGGUGUUAGUAUAUCUGGAGAAGAUUAUGGUGUUAGUAUGGGUUUUUUUUAUUUAUAUUUCUUCUGCUUUUCGAUGACAAGUACUAAUACAUUUUGCCAAGGGGUGUUUCUUUCUUUGGUGAAUGCAUUGUCUUAUCUGAUUCAAUUCUUAAUGUUCUGGGUUUUGGGUUUCUUGCCUUUGCUUUUGUUCUGAUGCAUUGGCUUAGACAUUUUAGCAUUGUUCAUAAUAAAAAGAAAAAUGGUGAAAAUUGAGAAAAUUGUUUAAUUGUAUUUAAAAUGGUGAGAAUU
Rosa rugosa (rugosa rose) is the source of this 2268-nucleotide long non-coding RNA. RefSeq lists it as uncharacterized. The transcript has 6 exons. The record is from RefSeq and is a predicted model, not a curated record. NCBI's taxonomy places the organism in Eukaryota, Viridiplantae, Streptophyta, Magnoliopsida, Rosales, Rosaceae.